CUGAUGGAGACCUCCAAUAUGAACAAAAAUUAAUUGGAUGAUGACUCCCAAACCCUAUGAGAAAUAUAACAAUGACAUUUGCCAAAUAUGGAUGUCAGAAGGCAUUUUAAACAACUUCAUGAGAGUAGAUACAUCCGGUUAAUAAGUUAUUGAUUUUGUUUUAACUGUAUCCAAUGUGUAAACUCAUGUUGAUAUGGCACUGAUGGGAACCUAUAACAAG
This 220-nucleotide unclassified non-coding RNA is filed under the name Hevea brasiliensis (rubber tree). The record is from RNAcentral. Lineage: Eukaryota; Viridiplantae; Streptophyta; Magnoliopsida; Malpighiales; Euphorbiaceae.